CGACGCUGGAAAGAGGGUGUUGCCAAGCGCAGCAUCCCACCGAAGGAGCAAGCUGCACGGACGGGUCAGCCCUGUUGCAGCGGGAAUCUCUCAGGUCACGAGACAGCGGGGGCAGG
Molecule: non-coding RNA, 116 nt
Filed under: Oceanicaulis sp.
Lineage: Bacteria; Pseudomonadati; Pseudomonadota; Alphaproteobacteria; Maricaulales; Maricaulaceae
Description: Glycine sequence
Rfam family: Glycine riboswitch aptamer
About the family: This family represents the bacterial glycine riboswitch. Glycine riboswitches usually consist of two metabolite-binding aptamers domains with similar structures in tandem. The aptamers cooperatively bind glycine to regulate the expression of downstream genes.
Source: RNAcentral